GACGAACGCUGGCGGCGUGCCUAAUACAUGCAAGUAGAACGCUGAAGGAGGAGCUUGCUUCUCUGGAUGAGUUGCGAACGGGUGAGUAACGCGUAGGUAACCUGCCUGGUAGCGGGGGAUAACUAUUGGAAACGAUAGCUAAUACCGCAUAAGAGUAGAUGUCGCAUGACAUUUGCUUAAAAGGUGCACUUGCAUCACUACCAGAUGGACCUGCGUUGUAUUAGCUAGUUGGUGAGGUAACGGCUCACCAAGGCAACGAUACAUAGCCGACCUGAGAGGGUGAACGGCCCAACUUGGAAUGAGACACGGGCCAGACUCCUACCGGAGGGAGCAGUAGGGAAUCUUCGGAAAUGGGCGGAAGGCUGACCGAGCAACGCCGGGGGAGUGGAGAAGGGUUUCGGAUCGUAAAGCUCUGUUGUAAGGGAAGAACGAGUGUGAGAGUGGAAAGUUCACGCUGUGACGGUAUCUUACCAGAAAGGGACGGCUAACUACGUG
RNAcentral lists this ribosomal RNA (495 nucleotides) under uncultured bacterium. RNAcentral's name for it is "partial 16S ribosomal RNA". It matches the Rfam family "Bacterial small subunit ribosomal RNA", at positions 28 to 507 of the family's 1533-position model. The record is from RNAcentral.